CCUANGGGAGGCUGCAGUCGAGAAUCUUCUGCAAUGGGCGCAAGCCUGACAGAGCGACGCCGCGUGGAGGACGAAGGCCCUCGGGUUGUAAACUCCUGUCACAUGUUAUGAACCACAUGGGUUGCACCCAUGUCUGACAAAAGCAUGAGAGGAAGUCACGGCUAACUUCGUGCCAGCAGCCGCGGUAAGACGAAGGUGGCUAGCGUUAUUCGGAUUUACUGGGCAUAAAGCGCGCGUAGGCGGCUCGACAAGUCGAAGGUGAAAGCCUGCAGCUCAACUGCGGUGUGCCUGCGAAACUGUCGAGCUUGAGUGCAGGAGGGGUGAUUGGAACUCCAGGUGUAGCGGUGAAAUGCGUAGAUAUCUGGAGGAACACCAGAGGCGAAGGCGAAUCACUGGACUGCAACUGACGCUGAGGCGCGAAAGCUAGGGGAGCAAACAGGAUUAGAUACCCUANUANUC
RNAcentral lists this ribosomal RNA (459 nucleotides) under uncultured bacterium. RNAcentral's name for it is "bacterial SSU rRNA". It matches the Rfam family "Bacterial small subunit ribosomal RNA", at positions 338 to 795 of the family's 1533-position model. The record is from RNAcentral.